AGAUUGAACGCUGGCGGCAUGCCUUACACAUGCAAGUCGAACGCGAAAGGGGGGGCAACCCCCGAGUAGAGUGGCGAACGGGUGAGUAAUACAUCGGAACGUAUCCAGUAGCGGGGGAUAACCUCUCGAAAGAGAGGCUAAUACCGCAUACGACCUACGGGUAGAAAGAGGGGGAUCGCAAGACCUCUCACUAUUGGAGCGGCCGAUGUCGGAUUAGCUAGUUGGCGGGUAACGCCCACAAGGCUACGAUCCGAGCUGGUCUGAGAGGACGACCAGCCACACUGGAACUGAGACACGGUCCAGACCUCCGUACGGGAGCGAGCGAGGUGGGGUAAUUUGGACAAGUGGGACACGAAGCCUAGACUACCAGCCCAGUUCGCCGG
RNAcentral lists this ribosomal RNA (383 nucleotides) under uncultured soil bacterium. RNAcentral describes it as "bacterial SSU rRNA". It matches the Rfam family "Bacterial small subunit ribosomal RNA", at positions 26 to 386 of the family's 1533-position model. The record is from RNAcentral.